GCCGGGCAUGGUGGCACAUGCCUGUAAUCCCAACUACUCGGGAGGCUGAGGCAGCAGAAUCGCUUGAACCCGGGAGGCAGAGGUUGCAGUGAGCUGAGAUUGCGCCACUGCACUCCAGCCUGGGUGACAGAGCGAGACUCUGUCUCAA
This is an unclassified non-coding RNA of Pongo abelii (Sumatran orangutan), 148 nucleotides long. It matches the Rfam family "Metazoan signal recognition particle RNA". Rfam says of the family: The signal recognition particle (SRP) is a universally conserved ribonucleoprotein. It is involved in the co-translational targeting of proteins to membranes. The record is from Ensembl. Lineage: Eukaryota; Metazoa; Chordata; Mammalia; Primates; Hominidae.